AACGAACGCUGGCGGCGGGCUUAACACAUGCAAGUCGAACGGAAACGCCCUGCUUGUGUGUGGUUCUCGAGGGGCAAACGGGGGAGUAACAGGUGAGUAACCUGCCCUUGACUUUGGGAUAACUUCAGGAAACUGGGGCUAAUACCGGAUAGGAGCUCCUGCUGCAUGGUGAGGGUUGGAAAGUUUAGGCUGGUGUGGAUGGACUCGCGGCUUAUGAGCUUGUUGGUUGGCUAGGUGCUUACCAAGGGUUUGACGGGUAGCCGGCCUGAGUGGGUGACCGGCCACAUUGGGACUGAGAUACGGCCCAGAGUCCUACGGGGGGCAGUAGUCGGGAAUAUUGCCCAAUGGGCGGACGUGUGAUGAAGAAGCCUUGCGUGUGGGAAGACGGUCUUCGGGUUGUAAACCGCUUUAGGUUGUGACGAAGCGUUAGUGACGGUACUGGGUAAAGAAGCACCGGCUAACUACGUG
This 468-nucleotide ribosomal RNA is filed under the name uncultured bacterium. Its description in RNAcentral is "partial 16S ribosomal RNA". It matches the Rfam family "Bacterial small subunit ribosomal RNA", at positions 28 to 507 of the family's 1533-position model. The record is from RNAcentral.